UCCGGUUUGUCACCGGCAGUCUCCUUAGAGUUCCCACCUUUACGUGCUGGCAACUAAGGACAAGGGUUGCGCUCGUUGCGGGACUUAACCCAACAUCUCACGACACGAGCUGACGACAGCCAUGCAGCACCUGUGUUCGAGUUCCCGAAGGCACCCUCUCAUCUCUGAAAGGUUCUCGACAUGUCAAGACCAGGUAAGGUUCUGCGCGUUGCAUCGAAUUAAACCACAUACUCCACCGCUUGUGCGGGCCCCCGUCAAUUCCUUUGAGUUUCACGCUUGCGCGCGUACUCCCCAGGCGGUCGACUUAACGCGUUAGCUUCGAUACUGAGUGCCAAGUUGCACCCAACAUCCAGUCGACAUCGUUUAGGGCGUGGACUAC
This 379-nucleotide unclassified non-coding RNA is filed under the name uncultured Rhodanobacteraceae bacterium. RNAcentral describes it as "contains 16S-23S intergenic spacer region". Lineage: Bacteria; Pseudomonadati; Pseudomonadota; Gammaproteobacteria; Lysobacterales; Rhodanobacteraceae. The record is from RNAcentral.